RNAcentral lists this ribosomal RNA (140 nucleotides) under Acinetobacter baumannii. RNAcentral describes it as "partial 16S ribosomal RNA". It matches the Rfam family "Bacterial small subunit ribosomal RNA", at positions 1 to 137 of the family's 1533-position model. The record is from RNAcentral. Lineage: Bacteria; Pseudomonadati; Pseudomonadota; Gammaproteobacteria; Moraxellales; Moraxellaceae.
UUUAACUGAAGAGUUUGAUCAUGGCUCAGAUUGAACGCUGGCGGCAGGCUUAACACAUGCAAGUCGAGCGGGGGAAGGUAGCUUGCUACCGGACCUAGCGGCGGACGGGGUGAGUAAUGCUUAGGAAUCUGCCUAUUAGU